UAACAGUGAGAAAUCAUUGCUAAUACCGCAUAUGCCAUGAACAUCACAUGAUGAAAAUGGGAAAAGAGUAAUCUGCUAGUAGAUGGGCUCGCGUCUGAUUAGAUAGUUGGUGGGGUAACGGCCUACCAAGUCGACGAUCAGUAGCCGGACUGAGAGGUUGAACGGCCACAUUGGGACUGAGAUACGGCCCAGACUCCUACGGGAGGCAGCAGUCGGGAAUAUUGCGCAAUGGAGGAAACUCUGACGCAGUGACGCCGCGUAUAGGAAGAAGGUUUUCGGAUUGUAAACUAUUGUCGUUAGGGAAGAUACAAGACAGUACCUAAGGAGGAAGCUCCGGCUAACUACGUGCCAGCAGCCGCGGUAAUACGUAGGGAGCAAGCGUUAUCCGGAUUUAUUGGGUGUAAAGGGUGCGUAGACGGGACAACAAGUUAGUUGUGAAAUCCCUCGGCUUAACUGAGGAACUGCAACUAAAACUAUUGCUCUUGAGUGUUGGAGAGGAAAGUGGAAUUCCUAGUGUAGCGGUGAAAUGCGUAGAUAUUAGGAGGAACACCGGUGGCGAAGGCGACUUUCUGGACAAUAACUGACGUUGAGGCACGAAAGUGUGGGGAGCAAACAGGAUUAGAUACCCUGGUAGUCCACACCGU
RNAcentral lists this ribosomal RNA (644 nucleotides) under uncultured bacterium. Its description in RNAcentral is "bacterial SSU rRNA". It matches the Rfam family "Bacterial small subunit ribosomal RNA", at positions 144 to 803 of the family's 1533-position model. The record is from RNAcentral.